CCUACGGGAGGCUGCAGUGAGGAAUAUUGGUCAAUGGACGAGAGUCUGAACCAGCCAAGUAGCGUGAAGGAUGACUGCCCUAUGUGUUGUAAACUUCUUUUAUAUGGGAAUAAAAUGUUCCACGUGUGGGAUGUUGUAUGUACCAUAUGACUAAGGAUCGGCUAACUCCGUGCCAGCAGCCGCGGUAAUACGGAGGAUCCGAGCGUUAUCCGGAUUUAUUGGGUUUAAAGGGAGCGUAGGUGGAUUGUUAAGUCAGUUGUGAAAGUUUGCGGCUCAACCGUAAAAUUGCAGUUGAAACUGGCAGUCUUGAGUACAGUAGAGGUGGGCGGAAUUCGUGGUGUAGCGGUGAAAUGCUUAGAUAUCACGAAGAACUCCGAUUGCGAAGGCAGCUCACUGGACUGCAACUGACACUGAGGCUCGAAAGUGUGGGUAUCAAACAGGAUUAGAUACCCUAGUAGUC
This 460-nucleotide ribosomal RNA is filed under the name uncultured bacterium. Its description in RNAcentral is "partial 16S ribosomal RNA". It matches the Rfam family "Bacterial small subunit ribosomal RNA", at positions 338 to 795 of the family's 1533-position model. The record is from RNAcentral.